GGACAUCAUUGACGCUUUAUCGGAGCCUUGGGUUGAGGUGGAAAACAUUAUCAAUGGUAACGUUGAACAUCCCCCUCAACCCAAUUCACCGAUUAUUGAGGAAAAUGAUGUUCUGCCAGAGAGAUUGGUGGUGGUAGAGGCCGAAAAUAACAUCAUUCGGUCACCACAACCAUCACCACCACCGUCACCCAUAAUAUUAUCACAGGGCGUCAAUGACAUUCAACAACCAUCUGUCAUUGACGCACUGGCAGAGCCGUGGGUUGAAGAGAGGAGGCAGGGUGAAGAGAUGGAUGUUGAAAAUGACAUCAUUCAACCCUCUCAAUUGUCACCCAUUCUAGGGCAAAUAAAUAAUAGGAUUGAGAAUAGGGUGGAGGGUGGAGACGAUGACGACGACGAUGACAUCAUUCCACCCACUCCCCCUCACUCACGAUCAAGGAGGCGUCGGCGCCCUAGAAAGCCUCGUAGACGUUCGCGAAAGUCGCCAUUAAUAUUAAUUAUUAAUAAUUAUAAUAUUAAUAUUAAUAUUAAUGAUGUUAAUAUUAAUAAUUAAUAUUAAUAAAUCCUAUUUCCAUCCCACACUCAUAUCAAGUACAUUUAAUUCGGACGCGAUUUUCCAAAUUUUAACAUCAUACUACCUACAACACGAUGGCAAGCAUGCUGCUCCUCCUCGAGGUCUUGCUGGAUACCUAUCUUUGAACACAAAAAAAUAUAUAUUUAUAUAGUAUAAAUAAAAGUCUUUCAAAGAUAGUAACAGAAGGCAGCCAAUUUAUAAUUAAACUUUGUUAGUAACCUGUUUAAUUUAUUGAUUCAUAUUUUCAUAAGAAAAUGCAUCACUGUGAAAAUUGUAAUAAACAAUUUACAACCCGUCAAUCACGACUACGCCACGAAAAGCUCUAUUGUCAAGUGGUCAAAAAACAGGAAAAUGGAGGACCGACCGCCAAAAAACAGAAAAUAUGUCAUUCAACUGCUAGCAACAAUUAUAUGUGCGUUACAUGUAAUCAAGAAAUUGCUCCAAAGCUUAUUACGGCCCAUGAGAGAAGUAGACAGCAUAGAAAUAAUUGUCAAAGUACUCCCUUGGAGGAUGGGGUGUUUGCACUCAGCAGUGCAUUUAAAUCACGCAUCGCUUCAUAUAGGAUUUGUGAUGAGGGCGAUUAUAUCGAUUUAAAUAAAUUUAUGGAUAAAAUUCACAAUAAAUUACUUAGACUUAUUGUUUCACAAAUUGAAAAAUUUAGUACAAUCAAAAUUAAUUUGGAAUUAUUUGAAUUGUAUACCAUUGAAUCAAAAAAUAUAUUUGAUGUAAAAUCUUUUAAUACUACUAACAGAAUUGUCACUUUAGGCACGAAUAUUAGGAAUAUGUUGCAUGACUUUCAAGAAGUUAUUAGUCAAAAAAUGAUGGAUUAUUUGGAACGAGAUUCAGGCUGGACACUUGUGAAAAUCUUACAUUUAGAAUUAAAUGUAAACUAUUACAAUCCAUUGAAAGCGUCAUCGUAUAUCCCACUACCGCCAAGCGUGAAAAUGAAGAGGGCAAUAGUUAAUGUUCAAAAUCAGGAUAUUCAUUGUUUUGGUUGGAGUGUCGUAGCAGCAGUGUGUCUACCUAUGGGACCAGAACAUUUACCCAGUUCAUAUCCACAUUGGUCGACACUUUUUAAUUUCCAAGGUAUUGAAUUUCCUGUAAAACUGGAUAGUAUUGCAAAAUUUGAAAGUCAAAAUAAUGUCUCUAUUAAUGUUUACGGACUUGAAUUACUUUAUGUAAACAAUAAGGUAAAAUUUGAAAUUGUGGGACCAUUAUAUUUUACAAACUUUAAGAAACCGGUACACAUAAAUUUAUUAUUGUUGAGUGAUAACGAUGGUAAUCAACAUUACUGUACAAUAACUAAUUUGCCACGUUUAGUAUCUUCCCAACUCUCAAAACAUCAUCAUUCAAAAUUUUUCUGUGAUGGAUGUUUACAAUAUUUCACAACCCAAGCUUUAUUAGAUAGACAUUCUUCGACUGAUUGUGGAAAACUUUAUGCUAGAAUUCCAAAUAAUGAAUUAAUAACAAAUAGAUUUGGUUAUAAUGUUCCCGCUAAUGUAUUAGAAUUUCAAAAUUAUCAUCAUAAAAUGACUAUCCCAUUUAUUGUUUAUGCUGAUUUCGAAUGUUUAUUGAAACCUAUGAGUACAGUUGCACCAAAUCCAAAUCAAUCAUUUUCGAUAAAAACUUUUCUCCAUCAACCAUAUUCAUGUGCAUAUUACAUUAAAUGUUCAUAUAACGAUCAAUUAUCUAAAUUCCAAAGUUUUCGAGGACAGUCAUCUGUGGUUGACUUUAUUACAGCAUUAGAAAUAGAUUUGAUAGAGAUUUAUAAAAAGUAUUUAAGUAUUGUACAACCAAUGCUUCCAUUAACUAUUCAAGAAGAGUUUGAUUAUCUUACAGCAACGAAAUGUCAUAUUUGUCAAAAACCUUUUCAACAGAAUGAUAUUAAAGUAAAAGAUCACUGUCAUUUAACGGGUCGUUAUAGGUCCGCCGCGCACAGUAAUUGUAACUUGAAUUUUCAAAUUCCAAAUUUUAUUCCGAUAGUAUUUCAUAAUUUAACAAAUUAUGAUAGUCACUUAUUCAUUAAAGAGUUGGCCCUUGAAGAAAGUGAAAUUAAUAUCCUUGGUAAAACUAAAGAGAAAUAUAUUACAUUUUUGAAAAAAAUUUGUGUAGGCGAAUAUCUAAAUUCAAACAAUCGAAUAGUCAAGGAGCACUUACACUUGCGUUUUAUAGAUAGUUUUCAGUUUUUGGCAUGUUCAUUAGAAAAACUGGCAGCAGCCUUGGAUGAUGCUCAAUGUAUGGAAGUAAAACGAUACUUUCCCGUUGACAGAGAAUUUCAGUUAAUUAGACAGAAAGGGGUUUUUCCAUAUUCAUUUAUCGAUGAUUUUUCUAAAUUAGAUCUCAAGGAAUUACCACAAAAAAUUGAUUUUUACGAUAAACUUCGCGAUGAGCAUAUUUCUGAAGAUGAUUAUCAACGAGCUAAUACCGUAUGGAAUACAUUCCAUUGUCAGACUUUAGGCGAAUAUUCUGAUCUCUAUUUAAAAAGUGAUAUUUUACUAUUAGCUGAUGUCUUUGAGAAUUUUCGAAACAUGUGCCUUAAGCAUUAUGAACUUGAUCCAGCACAUUACGUGACAGCACCAUCUCUUAGUUGGAAUGCUAUGCUUAAAUUUACCCAUGUAAAAUUAGAAUUAUUGACUGAUAUAGAUAUGUUGCAUUUUUUCAAAAAAGGGAUUCGUGGGGGAGUUAGUACAUGUGUUAAACGAGCGGCUCAAGCAAAUAAUAAAUUUCUUCCAAAUUAUGACCCUUCGAAACCGACAUCAUACAUUUUAUAUCUCGAUGCAACAAAUCUCUAUGGUUGGGCUAUGAGUGAAGUACUCCCUUUAGGUGGAUUUACUUGGUUAACGCAAGACGAAAUUAAUUCACUUAGUAUUAUGGAUUUGACUGAUACCACACCUGAAGGUUAUGUCCUUGAAGUAGAUAUCUCUUAUCCUCAUCAUUUACACAACUCUCAUAAUGAUAUGCCAUUUCUACCUGAAAAUUUAAUUCCACCAAACGGAAAAUGUGCUAAACUCAUUCCAAAUCUAUGUGCUAAGACAAACUACAUAAUACACUAUCGAAAUUUAAAACAAGCUCUACAAAAUGGACUAGAAUUGACAAAAAUUCAUAGAGUACUAAAAUUCAAUCAAUCGUCAUGGCUCAAACCAUAUAUUGAUUUAAAUACGAAAUUACGAAAUCAGACUAAAAAUAAGUUUGAAAAA
Molecule: RNA transcript, 3768 nt
Organism: Tribolium castaneum (red flour beetle)
Lineage: Eukaryota; Metazoa; Arthropoda; Insecta; Coleoptera; Tenebrionidae
Exons: 3
Source: RefSeq, a predicted model, not a curated record